RNAcentral lists this ribosomal RNA (538 nucleotides) under uncultured Bifidobacterium sp. Its description in RNAcentral is "bacterial SSU rRNA". It matches the Rfam family "Bacterial small subunit ribosomal RNA", at positions 147 to 697 of the family's 1533-position model. Lineage: Bacteria; Bacillati; Actinomycetota; Actinomycetes; Bifidobacteriales; Bifidobacteriaceae. The record is from RNAcentral.
CUCCUGGAAACGGGUGGUAAUGCCGGAUGCUCCGGUUGGAUGCAUGUCCUUCCGGGAAAGAUUUCAUCGGUAUGGGAUGGGGUCGCGUCCUAUCAGGUAGUCGGCGGGGUAACGGCCCACCGAGCCUACGACGGGUAGCCGGCCUGAGAGGGCGACCGGCCACAUUGGGACUGAGAUACGGCCCAGACUCCUACGGGAGGCAGCAGUGGGGAAUAUUGCACAAUGGGCGCAAGCCUGAUGCAGCGACGCCGCGUGCGGGAUGACGGCCUUCGGGUUGUAAACCGCUUUUGAUCGGGAGCAAGCCUUCGGGUGAGUGUACCUUUCGAAUAAGCACCGGCUAACUACGUGCCAGCAGCCGCGGUAAUACGUAGGGUGCAAGCGUUAUACGGAAUUAUUGGGCGUAAAGGGCUCGUAGGCGGUUCGUCGCGUCCGGUGUGAAAGUCCAUCGCUUAACGGUGGAUCCGCGCCGGGUACGGGCGGGCUUGAGUGCGGUAGGGGAGACUGGAAUUCCCGGUGUAACGGUGGAAUGUGUAGAUAU